RNAcentral lists this transfer RNA (76 nucleotides) under Bacteroidota bacterium. RNAcentral describes it as "Bacteroidetes bacterium (marine metagenome) tRNA-Phe". It matches the Rfam family "tRNA". Rfam says of the family: Transfer RNA (tRNA) molecules are approximately 80 nucleotides in length. Their secondary structure includes four short double-helical elements and three loops (D, anti-codon, and T loops). Lineage: Bacteria; Pseudomonadati; Bacteroidota. RNAcentral also lists the same sequence under 1 other name. The record is from RNAcentral.
GGUGCCAUAGCUCAGUAGGUAGAGCAAUGGACUGAAAAUCCAUGUGUCCCUGGUUCGAUCCCGGGUGGCACCACCA